UAGGUUAUCGAUUUAGUUUUUAUCCUUACUAUUCUGUUGUUAUAGCUUAGUUAGUUUAUAUGGUUCAGUUAGGUGAUCAUACUUGAUGUUUGAAUGUUGGUGAGCUGGUUGAAUUUGUGGAUUUGUGGAAUUAUGGAUUUGGUUUAUGGAUCUUCAGUUUUGGGAUGUUUGUAUACUUUGUGGUUCUCGGAUUUGUAUUUAUGGAUUUAC
RNAcentral lists this long non-coding RNA (210 nucleotides) under Ananas comosus (pineapple). RNAcentral's name for it is "long non-coding RNA (ACOM_LNC003819)". The record is from RNAcentral. Lineage: Eukaryota; Viridiplantae; Streptophyta; Magnoliopsida; Poales; Bromeliaceae.